RNAcentral lists this ribosomal RNA (892 nucleotides) under Synhimantus sp. AP-2012. RNAcentral describes it as "SSU rRNA". It matches the Rfam family "Eukaryotic small subunit ribosomal RNA", at positions 106 to 1001 of the family's 1831-position model. Lineage: Eukaryota; Metazoa; Nematoda; Chromadorea; Rhabditida; Acuariidae. The record is from RNAcentral.
ACAGCUAUAAUGUACUUGAUCUUGAUUCAUCCAACGUGGAUAACUGUGGUAAUUCUAGAGCUAAUACAUGCACCAAAGCUCCGACUUUAAUGGAAGAGCGCAUCUAUUAGAUUAAAACCAAUCGGGCCUAGCCCGUCAAUUGGUGACUCUGAAUAGCUAUGGCUGAUCGCAUGGUCUCGUACCGGCGACGUAUCUAUCAAGUGUCUGCCUUAUCAACUUUCGAUGGUAGUUUAUGUGCCUACCAUGGUUGUAACGGGUAACGGAGAAUAAGGGUUCGACUCCGGAGAGGGAGCCUGAGAAACGGCUACCACAUCCAAGGAAGGCAGCAGGCGCGCAAAUUACCCACUCUCGGCAUGAGGAGGUAGUGACGAAAAAUAACGAGACCGUUCUCUUCGAGGCCGGUUAUCGGAAUGGGUACAAUUUAAACCAGUUAACGAGGAUCUAUGAGAGGGCAAGUCUGGUGCCAGCAGCCGCGGUAAUUCCAGCUCUCAAAGUGUAUAUCGUCAUUGCUGCGGUUAAAAAGCUCGUAGUUGGAUCUGCGCCUCAGGACCCGGUCCGUCCUUUGGACGAGAACUGGGCGCCUAGGCUAGUACUGUCGGUUUUCCCUGCGUUACCUUGAUCGGUUGCGUAGGGUGGCCGGCGAGUUUACCUUGAAAAAAUUAGAGUGCUCAAUGCGGGCUGACGCCUGAAUACUCGUGCAUGGAAUAAUGAAAUAGGAUCUCGGUUCUAUUUUGUUGGUUUUCUGAUCUGAGAUAAUGGUUAAGAGGGACGGACGGGGGCAUUCGUAUCGCUGCGUGAGAGGUGAAAUUCUUGGACCGUAGCGAGACGCCCGACUGCGAAAGCAUUUGCCAAGAAUGUCUUCAUUAAUCAAGAACGAAAGUCAGAGGUUCGA